RNAcentral lists this ribosomal RNA (573 nucleotides) under uncultured bacterium. Its description in RNAcentral is "bacterial SSU rRNA". It matches the Rfam family "Bacterial small subunit ribosomal RNA", at positions 102 to 662 of the family's 1533-position model. The record is from RNAcentral.
ACGGGUGAGUAACACGUGGGUAACCUGCCCAUCAGAGGGGGAUAACACUUGGAAACAGGUGCUAAUACCGCAUAAUUCAGUUUACCGCAUGGUAGAAUGAUGAAAGGCGCUUUUGCGUCACUGAUGGAUGGACCCGCGGUGCAUUAGCUAGUUGGUAGGGUAAUGGCCUACCAAGGCAACGAUGCAUAGCCGACCUGAGAGGGUGAUCGGCCACACUGGGACUGAGACACGGCCCAGACUCCUACGGGAGGCAGCAGUAGGGAAUCUUCGGCAAUGGACGAAAGUCUGACCGAGCAACGCCGCGUGAGUGAAGAAGGUUUUCGGAUCGUAAAACUCUGUUGUUAGAGAAGAACAAGGAUGAGAGUAGAAUGUUCAUCCCUUGACGGUAUCUAACCAGAAAGCCACGGCUAACUACGUGCCAGCAGCCGCGGUAAUACGUAGGUGGCAAGCGUUGUCCGGAUUUAUUGGGCGUAAAGCGAGCGCAGGCGGUUCUUUAAGUCUGAUGUGAAAGCCCCCGGCUCAACCGGGGAGGGUCAUUGGAAACUGGAGAACUUGAGUGCAGAAGAGGAGAGU